AUUGAACGCUGGCGGCAUGCCUUACACAUGCAAGUCGAACGGUAACAGGUCUUCGGAUGCUGACGAGUGGCGAACGGGUGAGUAAUACAUCGGAACGUGCCCAGACGUGGGGGAUAACGAGGCGAAAGCUUUGCUAAUACCGCAUACGAUCUAAGGAUGAAAGCAGGGGACCGCAAGGCCUUGUUCGUUUGGAGCGGCCGACGGCAGAUUAGGUAGUUGGUGGGAUAAAAGCUUACCAAGCCGACGAUCUGUAGCUGGUCUGAGAGGACGACCAGCCACACUGGGACUGAGACACGGCCCAGACUCCUACGGGAGGCAGCAGUGGGGAAUUUUGGACAAUGGGCGAAAGCCUGAUCCAGCAAUGCCGCGUGCAGGAUGAAGGCCUUCGGGUUGUAAACUGCUUUUGUACGGAACGAAAAGGCUCUGGCUAAUACCUGGGGCACAUGACGGUACCGUAAGAAUAAGCACCGGCUAACUACGUG
RNAcentral lists this ribosomal RNA (482 nucleotides) under uncultured bacterium. RNAcentral's name for it is "partial 16S ribosomal RNA". It matches the Rfam family "Bacterial small subunit ribosomal RNA", at positions 30 to 507 of the family's 1533-position model. The record is from RNAcentral.